Molecule: long non-coding RNA, 852 nt
Organism: Astatotilapia calliptera (eastern happy)
Lineage: Eukaryota; Metazoa; Chordata; Actinopteri; Cichliformes; Cichlidae
Source: Ensembl
AUUUUUAUUAGGUUAUUUUAUCAUUGUGGACAUACAGUAAAGAAAAUAACAAACAGACAUACAAAUGGGUCUAUAAUUCUUGCAGUAUUCUUUGUUUUUUCCUUCUUUGGGUAAGAUUGUUAUAAUAGCUUCUCCCCAUGAUGGUGGAGCUAUUCCCUGAUUCAGAGUCCAGUUGAAGCAAGAUAGAAGAAGUGGCUUGAGUUCUUCUUUGAAAACUUUGUAACUUUGUAGGUGUGAUCACAUUGAUGCCACAAUGGACGACUGAUCAAUGCUCCACUACCUUUUUUUUUUUUUUUUUUACUUUGAUUUUUAUUAGGUUAUUUUAUCAUUGUGGACAUACAGUAAAGAAAAUAACAAACAGACAUACAUAUAAACAAACAGAGUCUGGAGUUUACAUAUCUUUCUCCAUUUAUCACAUUGCAGAAAAAAAAAGAAAACCUAUUAUGUUAUUUCAUUUGUGUCACUUCUGAAUGUUUUCCACUUCCUCCAUAGUCUGUCGUAUUUACCUCCCAUCAGUCUAAUGUUGAGUGUUAUUUUUUCCAUCUCUGAGAUAUCCUCUACAAUACUUGCAGUAUUCUUUGUUUUUUCCUUCUUUGGGUAAGAUUGUUAUAAUAGCUUCUCCCCAUGAUGGUGGAGCUAUUCCCUGAUUCAGAGUCCAGUUGAAGCAAGAUAGAAGAAGUGGCUUGAGUUCUUCUUUGAAAACUUUGUAACUUUGUAGGUGUGAUCACAUUGAUGCCACAAUGGACGACUGAUCAAUGCUCCACUACCAAAAGGAAGCCAAGCCCUGCCACCCUUUACAACAAAACAAGGUGUGAUCACAUUGAUGCCACAAUGGACGACUGAUCAAUGCUC